CUGCAUUCGAUACUGCCGUGCUUGAGGACUGGAGAGGAGACUGGAAUUUACGGUGUAGCGGUGAAAUGCGUAGAUAUCGUAAGGAAGACCAGUGGCGAAGGCGGGUCUCUGGACAGUUCCUGACGCUGAGGCGCGAAGGUCAGGGGAGCAAACGGGAUUAGAUACCCCGGUAGUCCUGGCAGUAAACGGUGCACGUUUGGUGUGGGAGGAUUCGACCCCUUCUGCGCCGGAGCUAACGCGUUAAACGUGCCGCCUGGGGAGUACGGUCGCAAGAUUAAAACUCAAAGAAAUUGACGGGGGCCCGCACAAGCAGCGGAGCGUGGGGUUUAAUUCGACGCAACGCGAAGAACCUUACCAGGGCUUGACAUGACCAGGACCGGGGCGGAAACGUCCCCUCCCCG
Molecule: ribosomal RNA, 401 nt
Filed under: uncultured bacterium
Lineage: Bacteria
Description: bacterial SSU rRNA
Rfam family: Bacterial small subunit ribosomal RNA
Source: RNAcentral